Molecule: ribosomal RNA, 274 nt
Filed under: uncultured bacterium
Lineage: Bacteria
Description: partial 16S ribosomal RNA
Rfam family: Bacterial small subunit ribosomal RNA
Source: RNAcentral
AUACGAAGGGAGCUAGCGUUGUUCGGAAUUACUGGGCGUAAAGCGCACGUAGGCGGCCUGUUAAGUCGGAUGUGAAAGCCCCGGGCUCAACCUGGGAACUGCAUUCGAUACUGGCAAACUAGAGUAUAGUAGAGGCAAGUGGAAUUCCGGGUGUAGCGGUGAAAUGCGUAGAUAUCCGGAGGAACAUCAGUGGCGAAGGCGACUUGCUGGACUAAUACUGACGCUGAGGAGCGAAAGCGUGGGGAGCAAACGGGAUUAGAAACCCCGGUAGUCC